This 492-nucleotide ribosomal RNA is filed under the name uncultured bacterium. Its description in RNAcentral is "partial 16S ribosomal RNA". It matches the Rfam family "Bacterial small subunit ribosomal RNA", at positions 29 to 507 of the family's 1533-position model. The record is from RNAcentral.
AGUGAACGCUGGCGGUAGGCCUAACACAUGCAAGUCGAACGGCAGCACAGUAAGAACUUGCUCUUACGGGUGGCGAGUGGCGGACGGGUGAGGAAUACAUCGGAAUCUACUUUUUCGUGGGGGAUAACGUAGGGAAACUUACGCUAAUACCGCAUACGACCUACGGGUGAAAGCAGGGGAUCUUCGGACCUUGCGCGAUUGAAUGAGCCGAUGUCGGAUUAGCUAGUUGGCGGGGUAAAGGCCCACCAAGGCGACGAUCCGUAGCUGGUCUGAGAGGAUGAUCGGCCACACUGGAACUGAGACACGGUCCAGACUCCUACGGGAGGCAGCAGUGGGGAAUAUUGGACAAUGGGCGCAAGCCUGAUCCAGCCAUACCGCGUGGGUGAAGAAGGCCUUCGGGUUGUAAAGCCCUUUUGUUGGGAAAGAAAAGCAGCAGGUUAAUACCCCGCUGUUCUGACGGUACCCAAAGAAUAAGCACCGGCUAACUUCGUG